Molecule: ribosomal RNA, 2903 nt
Filed under: Escherichia coli
Lineage: Bacteria; Pseudomonadati; Pseudomonadota; Gammaproteobacteria; Enterobacterales; Enterobacteriaceae
Description: 23S ribosomal RNA
Rfam family: Bacterial large subunit ribosomal RNA
Source: RNAcentral
UUAAGCGACUAAGCGUACACGGUGGAUGCCCUGGCAGUCAGAGGCGAUGAAGGACGUGCUAAUCUGCGAUAAGCGUCGGUAAGGUGAUAUGAACCGUUAUAACCGGCGAUUUCCGAAUGGGGAAACCCAGUGUGAUUCGUCACACUAUCAUUAACUGAAUCCAUAGGUUAAUGAGGCGAACCGGGGGAACUGAAACAUCUAAGUACCCCGAGGAAAAGAAAUCAACCGAGAUUCCCCCAGUAGCGGCGAGCGAACGGGGAGCAGCCCAGAGCCUGAAUCAGUGUGUGUGUUAGUGGAAGCGUCUGGAAAGGCGCGCGAUACAGGGUGACAGCCCCGUACACAAAAAUGCACAUGCUGUGAGCUCGAUGAGUAGGGCGGGACACGUGGUAUCCUGUCUGAAUAUGGGGGGACCAUCCUCCAAGGCUAAAUACUCCUGACUGACCGAUAGUGAACCAGUACCGUGAGGGAAAGGCGAAAAGAACCCCGGCGAGGGGAGUGAAAAAGAACCUGAAACCGUGUACGUACAAGCAGUGGGAGCACAGAGCAAUCUGUGUGACUGCGUACCUUUUGUAUAAUGGGUCAGCGACUUAUAUUCUGUAGCAAGGUUAACCGAAUAGGGGAGCCGAAGGGAAACCGAGUCUUAACUGGGCGUUAAGUUGCAGGGUAUAGACCCGAAACCCGGUGAUCUAGCCAUGGGCAGGUUGAAGGUUGGGUAACACUAACUGGAGGACCGAACCGACUAAUGUUGAAAAAUUAGCGGAUGACUUGUGGCUGGGGGUGAAAGGCCAAUCAAACCGGGAGAUAGCUGGUUCUCCCCGAAAGCUAUUUAGGUAGCGCCUCGUGAAUUCAUCUCCGGGGGUAGAGCACUGUUUCGGCAAGGGGGUCAUCCCGACUUACCAACCCGAUGCAAACUGCGAAUACCGGAGAAUGUUAUCACGGGAGACACACGGCGGGUGCUAACGUCCGUCGUGAAGAGGGAAACAACCCAGACCGCCAGCUAAGGUCCCAAAGUCAUGGUUAAGUGGGAAACGAUGUGGGAAGGCCCAGACAGCCAGGAUGUUGGCUUAGAAGCAGCCAUCAUUUAAAGAAAGCGUAAUAGCUCACUGGUCGAGUCGGCCUGCGCGGAAGAUGUAACGGGGCUAAACCAUGCACCGAAGCUGCGGCAGCGACGCUUAUGCGUUGUUGGGUAGGGGAGCGUUCUGUAAGCCUGUGAAGGUGUACUGUGAGGCAUGCUGGAGGUAUCAGAAGUGCGAAUGCUGACAUAAGUAACGAUAAAGCGGGUGAAAAGCCCGCUCGCCGGAAGACCAAGGGUUCCUGUCCAACGUUAAUCGGGGCAGGGUGAGUCGACCCCUAAGGCGAGGCCGAAAGGCGUAGUCGAUGGGAAACAGGUUAAUAUUCCUGUACUUGGUGUUACUGCGAAGGGGGGACGGAGAAGGCUAUGUUGGCCGGGCGACGGUUGUCCCGGUUUAAGCGUGUAGGCUGGUUUUCCAGGCAAAUCCGGAAAAUCAAGGCUGAGGCGUGAUGACGAGGCACUACGGUGCUGAAGCAACAAAUGCCCUGCUUCCAGGAAAAGCCUCUAAGCAUCAGGUAACAUCAAAUCGUACCCCAAACCGACACAGGUGGUCAGGUAGAGAAUACCAAGGCGCUUGAGAGAACUCGGGUGAAGGAACUAGGCAAAAUGGUGCCGUAACUUCGGGAGAAGGCACGCUGAUAUGUAGGUGAAGCGACUUGCUCGUGGAGCUGAAAUCAGUCGAAGAUACCAGCUGGCUGCAACUGUUUAUUAAAAACACAGCACUGUGCAAACACGAAAGUGGACGUAUACGGUGUGACGCCUGCCCGGUGCCGGAAGGUUAAUUGAUGGGGUCAGCGCAAGCGAAGCUCUUGAUCGAAGCCCCGGUAAACGGCGGCCGUAACUAUAACGGUCCUAAGGUAGCGAAAUUCCUUGUCGGGUAAGUUCCGACCUGCACGAAUGGCGUAAUGAUGGCCAGGCUGUCUCCACCCGAGACUCAGUGAAAUUGAACUCGCUGUGAAGAUGCAGUGUACCCGCGGCAAGACGGAAAGACCCCGUGAACCUUUACUAUAGCUUGACACUGAACAUUGAGCCUUGAUGUGUAGGAUAGGUGGGAGGCUUUGAAGUGUGGACGCCAGUCUGCAUGGAGCCGACCUUGAAAUACCACCCUUUAAUGUUUGAUGUUCUAACGUUGACCCGUAAUCCGGGUUGCGGACAGUGUCUGGUGGGUAGUUUGACUGGGGCGGUCUCCUCCUAAAGAGUAACGGAGGAGCACGAAGGUUGGCUAAUCCUGGUCGGACAUCAGGAGGUUAGUGCAAUGGCAUAAGCCAGCUUGACUGCGAGCGUGACGGCGCGAGCAGGUGCGAAAGCAGGUCAUAGUGAUCCGGUGGUUCUGAAUGGAAGGGCCAUCGCUCAACGGAUAAAAGGUACUCCGGGGAUAACAGGCUGAUACCGCCCAAGAGUUCAUAUCGACGGCGGUGUUUGGCACCUCGAUGUCGGCUCAUCACAUCCUGGGGCUGAAGUAGGUCCCAAGGGUAUGGCUGUUCGCCAUUUAAAGUGGUACGCGAGCUGGGUUUAGAACGUCGUGAGACAGUUCGGUCCCUAUCUGCCGUGGGCGCUGGAGAACUGAGGGGGGCUGCUCCUAGUACGAGAGGACCGGAGUGGACGCAUCACUGGUGUUCGGGUUGUCAUGCCAAUGGCACUGCCCGGUAGCUAAAUGCGGAAGAGAUAAGUGCUGAAAGCAUCUAAGCACGAAACUUGCCCCGAGAUGAGUUCUCCCUGACUCCUUGAGAGUCCUGAAGGAACGUUGAAGACGACGACGUUGAUAGGCCGGGUGUGUAAGCGCAGCGAUGCGUUGAGCUAACCGGUACUAAUGAACCGUGAGGCUUAACCU